Molecule: long non-coding RNA, 498 nt
Organism: Acyrthosiphon pisum (pea aphid)
Lineage: Eukaryota; Metazoa; Arthropoda; Insecta; Hemiptera; Aphididae
Exons: 4
Source: RefSeq, a predicted model, not a curated record
CAAAAAGUGUAUCAAUAACCUAUAUAGGGAUGUUUUUUAUAACGAAUGUAAAGUUUCGUUGUUAAAAUUAACUGCUGAAGACAUUGCAAAAUAUAAAUUAACAAAAAUGCACAAGCCUACCAAAAAGUGUGUCAAUAACUUGUAUAAGAAUGUUUUUUACUCGGUUUUUUAUGACGAAUGUAAAGUUUCGGUCUUAAAAUUAACUGCAGAAGACAUAGCAAAAUAUAAAUUAGCGCAAUGAAAAAUAAGGAAACACCAAAGAAGAUGACGAGUUAAAGAGCCAUUAGGUCUAAGGAGGGCCGUAGUAAAUGGACAUCCAGAAAGUAUAAAAGGUAGAUUUUCUUGGAAAUAAAUUGCUGAAUAGCAUGUACCCUAUAUCAUAGGAGUAAUUAAUGGAGAACAUUUAGAGUUUGUAUCCGUAUGUAUGGCUGAAACUCAGCUACUCAGCAACUAUUUACAUGUAGAUAUUUAUACAUGCACAUCAGUAAGAAGUCAUUU